Molecule: ribosomal RNA, 465 nt
Filed under: Vreelandella stevensii
Lineage: Bacteria; Pseudomonadati; Pseudomonadota; Gammaproteobacteria; Oceanospirillales; Halomonadaceae
Description: partial 16S ribosomal RNA
Rfam family: Bacterial small subunit ribosomal RNA
Source: RNAcentral
CCUACGGGGGGCUGCAGUGGGGAAUAUUGGACAAUGGGGGCAACCCUGAUCCAGCCAUGCCGCGUGUGUGAAGAAGGCCCUCGGGUUGUAAAGCACUUUCAGUGAGGAAGAACGCCUGGUGGUUAAUACCCAUCAGGAAAGACAUCACUCACAGAAGAAGCACCGGCUAACUCCGUGCCAGCAGCCGCGGUAAUACGGAGGGUGCGAGCGUUAAUCGGAAUUACUGGGCGUAAAGCGCGCGUAGGUGGCUUGAUAAGCCGGUUGUGAAAGCCCCGGGCUCAACCUGGGAACGGCAUCCGGAACUGUCAAGCUAGAGUGCAGGAGAGGAAGGUAGAAUUCCCGGUGUAGCGAUGAAAUGCGUAGAGAUCGGGAGGAAUACCAGUGGCGAAGGCGGCCUUCUGGACUGACACUGACACUGAGGUGCGAAAGCGUGGGUAGCAAACAGGAUUAGAUACCCUAGUAGUC